GUGGGUAGCAAANGAUUAGAUNCCGUGUCACCCCUAAANGUCGGUGGGGUGAAACUUGUGACUGGUGGUGCGUGGGAGCGUCGCGAAAUGACGGGACCGCAGCGGGGAUGUGUGGAUAACUCGAUGCAACGCGAAAAACCUUACCUACCCUUGACAUGUCCGGAAUCCUGCUGAGAGGUGGGAGUGCCCGAAAGGGAAUCGGAACACAGGUGCUGCAUGGCUGUCGUCAGCUCGUGUCGUGAGAUGUUGGGUUAAGUCCCGCAACGAGCGCAACCCUUAUCAUUAGUUGCUACGCAAGGGCACUCUAAUGAGACUGCCGGUGACAAACCGGAGGAAGGUGGGGAUGACGUCAAGUCCUCAUGGCCCUUAUGGGUAGGGCUUCACACGUCAUACAAUGGUCGGUACAGAGGGUUGCCAAGCCGCGAGGUGGAGCCAAUCCCAGAAAGCCGAUCGUAGUCCGGAUUGUUCUCUGCAACUCGAGAGCAUGAAGUCGGAAUCGCUAGUAAUCGCGGAUCAGCAUGUCGCGGUGAAUACGUUCCCGGGUCUUGUACACACCGCCCGUCACAACCAUGGGAGGAUGAAGUAGGUAGCCUAACCCGCGAGGAGG
Molecule: ribosomal RNA, 607 nt
Filed under: uncultured bacterium
Lineage: Bacteria
Description: bacterial SSU rRNA
Rfam family: Bacterial small subunit ribosomal RNA
Source: RNAcentral